RNAcentral lists this ribosomal RNA (406 nucleotides) under uncultured bacterium. RNAcentral's name for it is "partial 16S ribosomal RNA". It matches the Rfam family "Bacterial small subunit ribosomal RNA", at positions 29 to 526 of the family's 1533-position model. The record is from RNAcentral.
AUUGAACGCUGGCGGCAGGCCUAACACAUGCAAGUCGAACGAGUGGCGCACGGGUGAGUGAUGUCUGUGAAACUGCCCGAAGGAGGGGGGUAACAAAGGGAAAAGGUACCUAAUACAGCACACGCGCGGUUGUACACCGAGGGGAUUAGCUAGUUGGUGGGGUAACGGCUCACCACGACGACGUUCCCCAGCUGGUCUGAGAGGAUGACCGGCCACACUGGAACUGAGACACGGUCCAGACUCCUACGGGAGGCAGCAGUGGGGAAUAUUGCACAAUGGGCGAAAGCCUGAUGCAGCCAUGCCGCGGGUGUGAAGAAGGCCUUCGGGUUGUAAAGUACUUUCAGCGAGGAGGCGUUACUCGCAGAAGAAGCACCGGCUAACUCCGUGCCAGCAGCCGCGGUAAUUC